Long non-coding RNA from Myotis lucifugus (little brown bat), 977 nucleotides. RefSeq lists it as uncharacterized. The transcript has 3 exons. The record is from RefSeq and is a predicted model, not a curated record. NCBI's taxonomy places the organism in Eukaryota, Metazoa, Chordata, Mammalia, Chiroptera, Vespertilionidae.
AAACCCGCCAAACAUACGGAAUUCUUUCUCCGCCCAUUCUCUCCCGGAAGUAUUUCGGUACGUUCUUAAAAGGAUCCCGAUGUUCCAACCUUAAGCCGCUUCCCUUCAGUUCCGACUGUACCCUCCCAAUCGCCCAAGGCGCGGAGACAAGCAAAAAGAACUAAGAUCCGACAGGGGGAACCUCUUUGCUUUAAGAGGCGGGACCAAGGCUAGCUGAAGACCAAUGAGAAACCGAGGAAAGACAUACAGGACCUGUAGCCUAUAGGAAAAAUGGGUGGAACUUGAAGCGCGUGCAAUCAUACUGCGCAUGACUGGCAAAGAAAGUUUUAGAGUUCUGGAACAAUCUGGAAGAAUCGAUCCUCGUAUUGAACCCCAACAUCUCCGUAGUACUCCUAUGAUAACUCACUAUUUGAAUUUGCUCACUAUUUGAAUUUGCACUAUUCAGUGGAAAAGGCUCAUCCAGUUCUCCCAUUCUUAUAGACCUAAAAUGAAGAUUAGUCGACUGCGCCAUUCACCACCUUCCACAGCCGAUUCGCUAACAGUUAAAAUAUAUUGACUGGUGACAACGAGCAAGCCACAGUCCUCUCACGUGAUGUGGAUCGUUACUUGUAUGCUAAUGAGUCUCAACGACACAUCUCGAGCCCCCACCUCCGUCCACUCUGAGCUCCGAUUCCACAUAUGGAUAUGAACACCACAAGGCACUACAGGCUUCUCAAACUUGUAGAGUCCAGAAUUUAAACUCAUUAUUUCCUCUGUACUAACAAUCUUAUGUAUUUUUUUCUGACAUUUAUGCUUGUAUUCUUGGGAUAUUUUUGAUUCCCCCUCUCCCCCGCCCCCACCCUUAUAAUGUUUCAUUUAUUAUUUCAAUGUAUUAAGUGCAUACUGUGGGCCAGGCGCUGUGCAAGAUUCUAAAUAUAGAGUGGUGAACAAAAUAGACUUGAUCCAUAGCUCAUGAAGCUCAGAGUGCUAGACAAUAA